GUGCUCGCUUUAGCAGCACAUACAGGAAAAUUGGAAGGAUACAGAGAAGAUCAGCAUGGCCC
Small nuclear RNA from Nannospalax galili (Upper Galilee mountains blind mole rat), 62 nucleotides. The record is from Ensembl. Lineage: Eukaryota; Metazoa; Chordata; Mammalia; Rodentia; Spalacidae.